This 277-nucleotide ribosomal RNA is filed under the name uncultured Pseudomonadales bacterium. Its description in RNAcentral is "partial 16S ribosomal RNA". It matches the Rfam family "Bacterial small subunit ribosomal RNA", at positions 502 to 778 of the family's 1533-position model. Lineage: Bacteria; Pseudomonadati; Pseudomonadota; Gammaproteobacteria; Pseudomonadales. The record is from RNAcentral.
CUUGUGCCAGCAGCCGCGGUAAUACAGAGGGUGCAAGCGUUAAUCGGAAUUACUGGGCGUAAAGCGCGCGUAGGUGGUUCGUUAAGUUGGAUGUGAAAUCCCCGGGCUCAACCUGGGAACCGCAUUCAAAACUGACGAGCUAGAGUAUGGUAGAGGGUGGUGGAAUUUCCUGUGUAGCGGUGAAAUGCGUAGAUAUAGGAAGGAACACCAGUGGCGAAGGCGACCACCUGGACUGAUACUGACACUGAGGUGCGAAAGCGUGGGGAGCAAACAGGAU